This 321-nucleotide long non-coding RNA is filed under the name Androctonus crassicauda. The record is from RNAcentral. Lineage: Eukaryota; Metazoa; Arthropoda; Arachnida; Scorpiones; Buthidae.
CUUGAGUUUGAGCAUUUUCAUAAAUAAGCUCAAACUCCAUCCUUGAAGUCAAGAGUAACAGUCUGUUAGUUAACAAUAUUUACUGAAUGUUUGUUAACAUUAGUUACUGAAUGAUAUUAAAAUUAUUCUGUCAUACAGGUGACAAAAUAGAGAGAUUGCUGAAGUGUACCUGUCCAUUUCUGUCUAAUAUAAUGAUUAGAAGCUUUUAUUUAAGGAGUAGUAGAAAUAUAGUCCAACCACGAAAGCCGCACCUAGCUAAGAUGGAUGAGUCCAAACGUGAAAGGGAGAGUCACAGUCGGUAUAAUGACGGGUGGGAAUAGU